Non-coding RNA from Glycine soja, 120 nucleotides. Lineage: Eukaryota; Viridiplantae; Streptophyta; Magnoliopsida; Fabales; Fabaceae. The record is from Rfam.
UUCUUAUUGGAUAAUGACUAUCACGUGUCUUGUUCUGAUUGGAUGUCAAUCCCAUGGAAAAUGAAAUGCAUUGUUGUUUUCAUUUACCAAUCAGAACAUAACAUGUGAUAGUCAUCAUCC